UUUUUUAAUAUAUAUCUUUUAGUCUAGUUUUUAGACUGUUUGGAAGCUCAAUGCGGCCACACCACACUUCCUGUUACAUUGCAUAGCAUACCCCCGGUGGAGGCUGACGAGUGGGCUAGCCUGUCUCACCCGAUUAAUCCCUAAGGGCUUGUUUGGAAGGCCACUUUCUCGUGGAGAAAUCAUACUUUUUCCUAGGUCCAAAGCUCACGUGGAAAUAUACCCGAGAUAUACUUUUUGGUCCAUUUGGAAGACAAACACCCCGGUCCAGUCCUCCCCCGAUGCUGAGGGAUACCCGUGGAAGCCCUCAUGGCCACCUGAGGCCGGGCAACCUUCCCCAGUUUGGAAGGGACACAAGCGGAUCCGAGCAACCACGCCCUCCGCCGCCACUAUCGUCCACACCGCUGCCAUCCGCUCUGCUGCCGCUCCAUCGUCGUCCUUCCCCGACGCAGUCGCGAGCGGGACGUGAGGCGACAGUGCCCUCCACCACCGCCACCGUCUCGGAUUUGUCGCCCUCCGCCGCCAUCUCUGCCCUCGGUUCACUGUCCUCCACCGUCGUCUUCCGCGACACGAUGUACAAUACAAUGUUGUCUCCAAGACACAGUACAUGGUCUUCUCCAAGAUCCAGUACAAGGUCGUCUCCUCCAAGAUCCAAACCCCAACGCUAGUGAGCAGCCGAAGACUUCUUUUCUGCUAUGCUUGAUUGAGAGGGCUGUGUCUGCACCCAGUUCUGCCUGUGGCUUGGGCUAGUAUUUUCUUCUUACUGCGCUUCUUAAAAUUUGGCUCUCUCGAGCUUGUACCCCCGGUAUUGUAAUAACCUUUAUUUAAACUCUGUACUAUUUGAAGUAAGGAAUGUGUUUACUAGCCUCCUGGGACUAGUAAUUUGUAUCACAUUUGAGUCCCAAAGGAUCGGGACGCUUCACGUGGUAUCAGAGCCCAUAGGACUGGCCGUAGGACGCAGCCCUGACCUUAAAAACUUGCCCUAAAAAGAAAGUACCUCUUACCUCAAGAAAAGUUUUCUCUUCCCUUCCCCGGUUUUAACAAGACCCUUCUUUUCCUAUUCCAGAUGGAAGACUCUCUGGCCAUUAAGUCAUCCUACUGCUCAGAAGUGGAGGGGUUCCCAUGCCUCUUGCGAAGCUGUGCGCUUCGCAUGGGAAUCCGCAAGAAGCCGGAAUACGUCUGGACGGAGCAUAUCGAAGGCGGAAUGAAAAGAUGCUCUAUGGCAGUCUACCUGGGGGAAAGCCAAAGCUAUCCAAACCAACGUUCCUUCCAAGUCACUUUUACCGGAGACCAUUUCCUAGAUGCUUGCCAAAAUGUCGCCCGAAAAGCCCUCCGAAAACUGUGUCAGAACUACAACAAAGUAAUCAUUGAAACCCCCCUUCGCUACUUUCCACCCAGCAACAAGAAUACCCCCACCUGGAGGAAAAGACUUCAGGCCCUAUCAGGAGGAGAUCCUAUUGAGAAUGAUCCCACCAUUGUCUACAUGGCUGGAUACCUUCACACCCUUGAUAACCAAUAUGAUGACCUUGCCCUCCACCGCACCUCCCUAACCUCCCGGGUGGAAAGCCUGGAGCAAAAAGUCAGGGAACUUUCAGAAGAAAAAGCGUCCCUUCAAGAGAGCCUCUUGAUAGCUGAAGGCGAAGAGACCAAUACCCGUGAAGCUUACCGCACCCUCAAAUUGGACUACGACAAGAAACUGAAGAAGCUCGCCCCCGCAAGAAAAAUCCGCAAGAAGACCAAAAGCCAAGGAUGUCAGACUGAGCAGAAGGAAGAGAACCCUCCUAGGAACCAGUCCGACACCGAGGUCAUGUCCCUGGCCAGCCUUGAUGACCUUCUCAAGGAAUUUGGGGACACUUUAGAGAAAGAGUUCGGGAGUACCCUAGGUAGCACUCGUGUGUGAUGAGCUUGUGGUAGCAGUAUGCUAUGUAAUGUAAUGGCUUGAUGUAAUGAAUAAAAUAACUAGUUAAAAAAAAUAUGGCAUGUGCAUAAUAGUGACCCUUUUCCCAUGGCAGAUGGCUUCGGAUAGAACCACGCCUACCGCCUCCGGGAUUGGAGCAAGACUUCCUCUAGGAGCUGAAGGAGAGGCUGGCGGAGAAGGGGGUGAGACCCACCUCCCCGCACCUCCAGAACUACCAUUAGACCUAGCCCAAGUUCUGGCCAAUCAAACCCGACUCAUUGAAGUCCUCACUCGAAGUCUGGAAAACCAGCGCCCAGGCGGUGGAAGGCCUCAGGACAGGAUGGGAGAAUUUUUAAGACUCAAGCCUCCCACGUUCGCGGGGUCCA
Molecule: unclassified non-coding RNA, 2280 nt
Filed under: Zea mays
Lineage: Eukaryota; Viridiplantae; Streptophyta; Magnoliopsida; Poales; Poaceae
Description: misc RNA Zm00001eb112410
Source: RNAcentral